This 429-nucleotide ribosomal RNA is filed under the name Pseudomonadota bacterium. RNAcentral describes it as "Proteobacteria bacterium partial 16S ribosomal RNA". It matches the Rfam family "Bacterial small subunit ribosomal RNA", at positions 355 to 776 of the family's 1533-position model. Lineage: Bacteria; Pseudomonadati; Pseudomonadota. The record is from RNAcentral.
UGGGGAAUAUUGGACAAUGGGCGAAAGCCUGAUCCAGCCAUGCCGCGUGUGUGAAGAAGGUCUUCGGAUUGUAAAGCACUUUAAGUUGGGAGGAAGGGCAGUAAGCGAAUACCUUGCUGUUUUGACGUUACCGACAGAAUAAGCACCGGCUAACUCUGUGCCAGCAGCCGCGGUAAUACAGAGGGUGCAAGCGUUAAUCGGAAUUACUGGGCGUAAAGCGCGCGUAGGUGGUUCGUUAAGUUGAAUGUGAAAGCCCCGGGCUCAACCUGGGAACUGCAUCCAAAACUGGCGAGCUAGAGUAGGGCAGAGGGUGGUGGAAUUUCCUGUGUAGCGGUGAAAUGCGUAGAUAUAGGAAGGAACACCAGUGGCGAAGGCGACCACCUGGGCUCAUACUGACACUGAGGUGCGAAAGCGUGGGGCGCAAACAGG